GACUGUCCAGUCCUUUCACAGACACUGACACAGGCAGCAUUAUGAUGAUGUCAAACUUUCUACUGCUGGUGAUGCUGAGACUCCUUGUACAGGGAUCAAUGGCAGAUAAAGUUCUGACUCAGGGUCCAGCAGCUCGGUCUGUUCAGCUGGGAGAGACUGUCUCCAUCAGCUGUACAGCCAGUGAGAGUGUGAGCAACUGGCUCAA
Anguilla anguilla (European eel) is the source of this 205-nucleotide long non-coding RNA. RefSeq lists it as uncharacterized. NCBI's taxonomy places the organism in Eukaryota, Metazoa, Chordata, Actinopteri, Anguilliformes, Anguillidae. The transcript has 2 exons. The record is from RefSeq and is a predicted model, not a curated record.